ACGAACGCUGGCGGCGUGCCUAAUACAUGCAAGUAGAACGCUGAAGAGAGGAGCUUGCUCUUCUUGGAUGAGUUGCGAACGGGUGAGUAACGCGUAGGUGACCUGCCUUGUAGCGGGGGAUAACUAUUGGAAACGAUAGCUAAUACCGCAUAACAAUGGAUGACACAUGUCAUUUAUUUGAAAGGGGCAAUUGCUCCACUACAAGAUGGACCUGCGUUGUAUUAGCUAGUAGGUGAGGUAAUGGCUCACCUAGGCGACGAUACAUAGCCGACCUGAGAGGGUGAUCGGCCACACUGGGACUGAGACACGGCCCAGACUCCUACGGGAGGCAGCAGUAGGGAAUCUUCGGCAAUGGGGGCAACCCUGACCGAGCAACGCCGCGUGAGUGAAGAAGGUUUUCGGAUCGUAAAGCUCUGUUGUAAGUCAAGAACGGGUGUGAGAGUGGAAAGUUCACACUGUGACGGUAGCUUACCAGAAAGGGACGGCUAACUACGUG
Molecule: ribosomal RNA, 496 nt
Filed under: uncultured bacterium
Lineage: Bacteria
Description: partial 16S ribosomal RNA
Rfam family: Bacterial small subunit ribosomal RNA
Source: RNAcentral